RNAcentral lists this unclassified non-coding RNA (211 nucleotides) under plant metagenome. Its description in RNAcentral is "partial contains small subunit ribosomal RNA, internal transcribed spacer 1, and 5.8S ribosomal RNA". The record is from RNAcentral.
UUUCCGUAGGUGAACCUGCGGAAGGAUCAUUCAUAAUAAAGUGUUUUAUGGCACUUUUUAAAAAUCCAUAUCCACCUUGUGUGCAAUGUUAGAUCUCGUCAAUCUUGGCGAGAUUUUUAUACAUCAACUCAUUUUUUAGCUAAUCUGUCUGAAAAAUAUUAUGAAUACUUAAUUCAAAAUACAACUUUCAACAACGGAUCUCUUGGCUCUC